Molecule: long non-coding RNA, 330 nt
Filed under: Gallus gallus (chicken)
Lineage: Eukaryota; Metazoa; Chordata; Aves; Galliformes; Phasianidae
Source: RNAcentral
CCAGAGAAGACCUUGUCACUGUGCAGUUCCUGCUCAGCAAUAUCUGUAACACUAGUUUGAGCUUCUGCUAUUGUGGUUGUUUUGGCCACAGGUCUAAACCAUUGCACCACACAGGAAAGCUGGGAAGAAAAUUAACUCCAUCUCAGGCAGUGUCAGUACACACAGAUGGAAGGAGAUCACAACAGGGAUGAAGAGUGGAGAGACAAAAAUCACAGACUACACAUCAGAAAAUGACAUGCUUCAAACCAACAGAGUAACAAUCACCAUUGUGCAGCACUGCUCCAUGGUUUUUUACUUUUACACUGAGGACUGGAGUUUGGCCUUGGAAGC